CGGACAUGGUGUCAAUGGCAGCACGCCGAGGUGAUCUAUCGGAAGAGCUCGGUUCGAAUCCAGUCGUCCGCU
Molecule: transfer RNA, 72 nt
Filed under: Gemmatimonadota bacterium
Lineage: Bacteria; Pseudomonadati; Gemmatimonadota
Description: Gemmatimonadetes bacterium tRNA-OTHER
Source: RNAcentral